ACGGCUACAUCAUGAUAAAACAUCGGUUUCCGUACGAUCACUGUAGUUAAGCAACGUCGUGCCAGGUCAGUAGUUAGAUGGGUAACCGCUUGGGAAUACUAUGUAC
This is a non-coding RNA of Acanthosepion pharaonis, 106 nucleotides long. NCBI's taxonomy places the organism in Eukaryota, Metazoa, Mollusca, Cephalopoda, Sepiida, Sepiidae. The record is from the annotation of a GenBank genome assembly.